UCCAGGAUCAUCUAUGUUACCAUAAAUGGCA
Molecule: non-coding RNA, 31 nt
Filed under: Homo sapiens (human)
Lineage: Eukaryota; Metazoa; Chordata; Mammalia; Primates; Hominidae
Source: RNAcentral